AACUAAAUAUUUGAUUUAGGUGCUUUAGAAGGAAAAAUUCUAAAGUGAAAAGGGAAUGUGGUUAAAAUCCACAGCAGCCCCCGCUACUGUAAAUGAGGACGAACCUUGUAUACCACUCAUAUGAGGAAGGUAAGGUGUAGAAAGAUUCAUGAGCCAGGAGACCUGCCUAAAUUUAUAAAACAAG
Molecule: non-coding RNA, 184 nt
Filed under: Clostridium sp.
Lineage: Bacteria; Bacillati; Bacillota; Clostridia; Eubacteriales; Clostridiaceae
Also listed under: 1 other name
Source: RNAcentral